AUUGAACGCUGGCGGCAGGCCUAACACAUACAAGUCGAGCGGAUGAAGGGAGCUUGCUCCUGGAUUCAGCGGCGGACGGGUGAGUAAUGCCUAGGAAUCUGCCUGGUAGUGGGGGAUAACGUCCGGAAACGGGCGCUAAUACCGCAUACGUCCUGAGGGAGAAAGUGGGGGAUCUUCGGACCUCACGCUAUCAGAUGAGCCUAGGUCGGAUUAGCUAGUUGGUGGGGUAAAGGCCUACCAAGGCGACGAUCCGUAACUGGUCUGAGAGGAUGAUCAGUCACACUGGAACUGAGACAUGGUCCAGACUCCUACGGGAGGCAGCAGUGGGGAAUAUUGGACAAUGGGCGAAAGCCUGAUCCAGCCAUGCCGCGUGUGUGAAGAAGGUCUUCGGAUUGUAAAGCACUUUAAGUUGGGAGGAAGGGCAGUAAGUUAAUACCUUGCUGUUUUGACGUUACCAACAGAAUAAGCACCGGCUAACUUCGUG
Molecule: ribosomal RNA, 484 nt
Filed under: uncultured bacterium
Lineage: Bacteria
Description: partial 16S ribosomal RNA
Rfam family: Bacterial small subunit ribosomal RNA
Source: RNAcentral